Molecule: ribosomal RNA, 1416 nt
Filed under: Xanthomonas citri pv. citri
Lineage: Bacteria; Pseudomonadati; Pseudomonadota; Gammaproteobacteria; Lysobacterales; Lysobacteraceae
Description: partial 23S ribosomal RNA
Rfam family: Bacterial large subunit ribosomal RNA
Source: RNAcentral
AGAUUAAGUUAUUAAGGGCGCACGGUGGAUGCCUUGGCACUAGAAGCCGAUGAAGGACGUUACUAACGACGAUAUGCUUUGGGGAGCUGUAAGUAAGCUUUGAUCCAGAGAUUUCCGAAUGGGGAAACCCAGCAUGAGUUAUGUCAUGUUAUCGAUAUGUGAAUACAUAGCAUAUCAGAAGGCACACCCGGAGAACUGAAACAUCUUAGUACCCGGAGGAAGAGAAAGAAAAUUCGAUUCCCUUAGUAGCGGCGAGCGAAACGGGAAGAGCCCAAACCAACAAGCUUGCUUGUUGGGGUUGUAGGACACUCUAUACGGAGUUACAAAGGACGACAUUAGACGAAUCAUCUGGAAAGAUGAAUCAAAGAAGGUAAUAAUCCUGUAGUCGAAAAUGUUGUCUCUCUUGAGUGGAUCCUGAGUACGACGGAGCACGUGAAAUUCCGUCGGAAUCUGGGAGGACCAUCUCCUAAGGCUAAAUACUCUCUAGUGACCGAUAGUGAACCAGUACCGUGAGGGAAAGGUGAAAAGCACCCCGGAAGGGGAGUGAAAUAGAACCUGAAACCGUGUGCUUACAAGUAGUCAGAGCCCGUUAAUGGGUGAUGGCGUGCCUUUUGUAGAAUGAACCGGCGAGUUACGAUUUGAUGCAAGGUUAAGCAGUAAAUGUGGAGCCGUAGCGAAAGCGAGUCUGAAUAGGGCGUUUAGUAUUUGGUCGUAGACCCGAAACCAGGUGAUCUACCCUUGGUCAGGUUGAAGUUCAGGUAACACUGAAUGGAGGACCGAACCGACUUACGUUGAAAAGUGAGCGGAUGAACUGAGGGUAGCGGAGAAAUUCCAAUCGAACCUGGAGAUAGCUGGUUCUCUCCGAAAUAGCUUUAGGGCUAGCCUCAAGUGAUGAUUAUUGGAGGUAGAGCACUGUUUGGACGAGGGGCCCCUCUCGGGUUACCGAAUUCAGACAAACUCCGAAUGCCAAUUAAUUUAACUUGGGAGUCAGAACAUGGGUGAUAAGGUCCGUGUUCGAAAGGGAAACAGCCCAGACCACCAGCUAAGGUCCCAAAAUAUAUGUUAAGUGGAAAAGGAUGUGGCGUUGCCCAGACAACUAGGAUGUUGGCUUAGAAGCAGCCAUCAUUUAAAGAAAGCGUAAUAGCUCACUGGUCGAGUCGGCCUGCGCGGAAGAUGUAACGGGGCUAAACCAUGCACCGAAGCUGCGGCAGCGACACUAUGUGUUGUUGGGUAGGGGAGCGUUCUGUAAGCCUGCGAAGGUGUGCUGUGAGGCAUGCUGGAGGUAUCAGAGAAUGCCGGUGUGAGUAGCGAAAGACGGGUGAGAAUCCCGUCCACCGAUUGACUAAGGUUUCCAGAGGAAGGCUCGUCCGCUCUGGGUUAGUCGGGUCCUAAGCUGAGGCCGACAGGCGUAGGCGA